RNAcentral lists this ribosomal RNA (253 nucleotides) under uncultured bacterium. RNAcentral describes it as "partial 16S ribosomal RNA". It matches the Rfam family "Bacterial small subunit ribosomal RNA", at positions 524 to 776 of the family's 1533-position model. The record is from RNAcentral.
UACGAGAGGUCCAAGCGUUGUCCGGAUUAACUGGGUGUAAAGGGUGUGUAGGAGGUCGUGUUAGUCCUGCUUUAAAUCUCUGGGCCCAACCCAGAGGCUGGGUGGGAUACGGCACGGCUGGAGGGUGCGAGAGGCGAGUGGAACUCAUGGUGUAGGGGUGAAAUCCGUUGAUAUCAUGGGGAACACCAAAAGCGAAGGCAGCUCGCUGGCGCAUACCUGACUCUGAAACACGAAAGCGUGGGGAUCAAAAAGG